This is a long non-coding RNA of Populus euphratica (Euphrates poplar), 134 nucleotides long. RefSeq lists it as uncharacterized. The transcript is spliced from 3 exons. The record is from RefSeq and is a predicted model, not a curated record. Lineage: Eukaryota; Viridiplantae; Streptophyta; Magnoliopsida; Malpighiales; Salicaceae.
UAAAACAAAUAUGUAUUAACAUGCAUUUUGGCUUUCAUAACCAUUUUAUUAAAGCCAUGAGCACUAGGCCAAUAUUUCAAAAAUACCUAAAAAAUAUUUUUUUUUCUUUUACUAUCUAGGAUUAUGAAUUCAUA